RNAcentral lists this ribosomal RNA (374 nucleotides) under uncultured bacterium. RNAcentral's name for it is "bacterial SSU rRNA". It matches the Rfam family "Archaeal small subunit ribosomal RNA", at positions 477 to 851 of the family's 1478-position model. The record is from RNAcentral.
CUGCAGCUCAAGUGGUGGCCGCUAUUAUUGGGCCUAAAACGUCCGUAGCCGGUUUCAUAAAUGCCUGGGUAAAUCAUACGGCUUAACCGUAUGAAUUCCGGGUAGACUGUUUAACUUGAGACCGGGAGAGGCUAGAGGUACUCCUGGGGUAGAGGUGAAAUUCUGUAAUCCUAGGGGGACCACCAGUGGCGAAGGCGUCUAGCUAGAACGGGUCUGACGGUGAGGGACGAAGCCCUGGGGAGCAAACGGGAUUAGAUACCCCGGUAGUCCAGGGUGUAAACGCUGCUCGCUUGAUGUUAGUCGGGCUCCGGGCCCGACUAGUGUCGGAGAGAAGUUGUUAAGCGAGCUGCCUGGGAAGUACGGUCGCAAGACUG